RNAcentral lists this ribosomal RNA (403 nucleotides) under uncultured bacterium. RNAcentral's name for it is "partial 16S ribosomal RNA". It matches the Rfam family "Bacterial small subunit ribosomal RNA", at positions 30 to 526 of the family's 1533-position model. The record is from RNAcentral.
AUUGAACGCUGGCGGCAGGCCUAACACAUGCAAGUCGAGCGAGCGGCGGACGGGUGAGUAAUGUAUGGGGUCUGCCCGACAGAGGGGGAUAACUACUGGAAACGGUGGCUAAUACCGCAUACUAGCGGAUAACACAUAUGGGAUUAGCUAGUAGGUGGGGUAUAGGCUCACCUAGGCCACGAUCACUAGCUGGUCUGAGAGGAUGAACAGCCACACUGGGACUGAUACACGGCCCAGACUCCUACGGAGGCAGCAGUGAAGAAUAUUGCACAAUGGGCGCAAGCCUGAUGCAGCCAUUCCGCGUGAAUGAAGAAGGCCUUAGGGUUGUAAAGUACUUUCAGCGGGGAGGCGUUACCCGCAGAAGAAGCACCGGCUAACUCCGUGCCAGCAGCCGCGGUAAUUC